UACGGAGGGUGCAAGCGUUAAUCGGAAUUACUGGGCGUAAAGCGCACGCAGGCGGUCUGUCAAGUCGGAUGUGAAAUCCCCGGGCUCAACCUGGGAACUGCAUUCGAAACUGACAGGCUAGAGUCUUGUAGAGGGGGGUAGAAUUCCAGGUGUAGCGGUGAAAUGCGUAGAGAUCUGGAGGAAUACCGGUGGCGAAGGCGGCCCCCUGGACAAAGACUGACGCUCAGGUGCGAAAGCGUGGGGAGCAAACAGG
This 253-nucleotide ribosomal RNA is filed under the name uncultured bacterium. RNAcentral's name for it is "partial 16S ribosomal RNA". It matches the Rfam family "Bacterial small subunit ribosomal RNA", at positions 524 to 776 of the family's 1533-position model. The record is from RNAcentral.